GCCAGGCAUGGUGGCCCACACCUGUAAUCUCAGCUGUUUGGGGGCUGAUGCAGGAGGAUGGCAAGUCCCCAGUCAGCCUGGGCAAUUUAGUGAGAUCCUGUUU
Molecule: small RNA, 103 nt
Filed under: Marmota monax (woodchuck)
Lineage: Eukaryota; Metazoa; Chordata; Mammalia; Rodentia; Sciuridae
Source: RNAcentral